UCUACUAUCUCGGCCUGACGACACAGCGUGCAGGUUGAUCCGGCGGAUCAGUUUAUGACAAACAUCCGUGGACUGUACAGCGAAGAGCCGAUUGGCUGCCGCGGAAUCGUCCCGGUCGUAAAGUCGUAUCUGAGAGUUCCAAAGUUCACUGUCUGCAGGUGGUUCUGUUAAAUGACAAGCAUGACCUUCUUUCCCCCACUGUUUGCACAAGUCGUUCAACGUGUAUCCUCUGUUCUCCGCGGUUGAUCCUAGACCCAGCUGAGCGAAACGGCGGGAUCGGCUUCAUAACCUGCGCGACAACACGCUGUAAUUGACAAUUAUGAAAUAAGAGAGAGUAAAUAUGAGUGGAGGUGAACGGGGGAAGGUAAAGGACUAAUGUUCAAUCAUCAGCAUUCUUUUUUCCAAUGAAGAUAUUUAAAAUACUCUAUGAAUAAAUAUUUAAACCUGGUGUUCGUAUAUAAAACAGAAUCUUAAUCUUCUGCCUACAUCUUUUUUUUUUUAGUUUGUAUUAGCUAUUUCAUGUUGUGUUACUAUAUUGUGUUGUUUUCUAUUGCUCUAUUUUUGGGGCGGAGUUGUCACAUUUUCCUUAAACGUGCGACUUUUUACAAGUUACCAAUUAAUCUGUCAAAUUAAAAAAUCUAGUAACAGUCACCUUUUAAUUAUUAGGACAAGGUGAAGAGGCCAGUUUAACGCUGAUAUACCAAAGAGAAAAACCAUGUCAUUCUAACUGUACAAAACAAAACCCAACAAGUUUUGCUCUAAAAAUUCAUUAUAAUUUUUAGUGUCCUUUAUUUUAUUGAUUUUUUUUUAAAACUAUUCCAGUCAUAUGUAUAUAAAGAAUCACCACUGUUAGGAAUAGCGCCCAUAGACUCUUACAUAACCUUGUGUCCUUCACCUCACAUUAUCUUUUUCCUGGCGAAUAAUGCUAGAAAAGCAAAGAAUGUGUUUUGUUGAAUCACACGGGAGGAUUCUAUUUUGACAACAAACGAACGUCCUCCAGUUGCUGAGGGAAGUGUGUUGUAUCCGAAAACGCUGAGCCCUGUGAAAUGUCUAAACACAGUUAUCGGCGUCUACGUGUUUGCGAUAACAGAACCCGAAGUGGAGCAAACGCGCCGAUAGCGGUGAGUGGCUGCGAAAUCCACGGCAGAUAGGAUGAGUAAAAAUAUCCCGGGCCGUGACUCCUCGUUUCCAGGCAGCGAGGGAGAUAGGACGAGUUAUUUAUGUGUCCUGCUGGUCAGUGCCCUCAUGGUGGCCUGUACAGUACGCUACAGAAACAGGCGUGUGAUCGUCGAGACGUGUCAGUCACGAUGAGUCAUGUUGGUCAUAUUGUCAACUGUUGAAAACUUACGGUAAAAAUCUUUAAAAAAAAAGAAGAAAUUAUUAGUCAUGAUAAUAAAACAUCCACCUCAGAAGCGACUGAGCCCCGUUCAAAAACUACAAACCUGCGAAAUACAUCGAGCGUUGAACCCAGACAGAGUCAACUUUAAAAAUCAUCGGUAUGAAAGUAGGAUGGAAAACCAGUCGCUGCAAUAUUCAUGACUAAAUCAUAUUUUAUUCAGUGCUUCCAAGCACAAAUAAAUCAAUCUAUCCUGCAGCGACUUCGGGAAACAAACUCAAACUUUGCCGAGAGGCCGAGUUCAGGUCUGGUUCACUCUGUCCGACAAGUUACCACAAAUAUUUCCUGAGAUCCGGAACGUGUCCAUAAGUCCUUUUAGUGAUGAAAAAUGAAAAAGGAUCAACUUAUUUUAACAUGCUCAAAAGAUGAGGGGGUCAACAACAAAAUGUGACCUACUCACCCGCUCACAGGUGAACUGGUGGGACAGAUUAAGUUUCUUGAAUUGAAUUGAAUUAUUGCCCCUUAAAUGUGUCGCAUGAAUUUGGGACAUGCCAACAGUAUGUGACGUGUAAAAGUAGUUGUUUUUUUUUUGCCAUGUAUUUAACAAUUCAACUGUUUCAAUGUUUUACAGUAUCUGGCAAAUGUGGACAACAUUAGCUUAGAAUAACUAAAUAUCUCAAUAUCCCUCUCUGUGAUAUCUGGGACGGGACGAGGUGUGCCCUUCAGGGACCACCGAGACUUUUGUGUGCGAAAAUAAAAACCGGUCCCUGAGGCGACGGUGCUCGAGACCAAGUCGGAGUCACCGCGAUGCCGCGCGGCGUCUCCUGCAGCGAGACAUGGGAUCAUCAUCAUCAUCUCCACGCCGUCUGUAGGCACACGUGUCAAAGUCCCCAGACGCGAACGCUCAUCGCAGGAGCUCGCGUGUGCGGCCCGUCGCCGCCAGAGCGACUCGUGUGCAGAUGCACAGCUGUUCGCCGCCGGAGUCAGAGGAUGAUGUCAUUGUAAUGAGUAGAGGGACUGAAAUAGUCAAGACGAUCUACCUGCCAGUGUUUCCACGAGACAAAGGCUGGGACACAACAGCUGCUAUCCUUACAUCACCGGGCGGCUGACCACCGUGAAGAAGAGGAGUCGGGGGAAACAAAUCCAAGACAAACACGGAGUUCUUGUGUCCACAGCAGGAGCCUCGUCCUCCUCACGAGACGCUGAAGAGUCCGGUCAGGAGGAGGCAGAGCGACGGGGAUCCGAGGGGUCGGGCGUGUUGUUGUGUCAAGCUGUUGGAAAAGCUGAACAAACAAACAGCGUUUGUUCAUCACACGGUGAUAAAGGGACGCGAUGAGAGCCUGAAAACAUUAACGCCGCUUUCGCAGCCGGGUGUUAUGAAAGCGGGGCUUUUGUGUGCGCUCAUGGAAACGGCGACUUUUUUCUGGGGUUCAAGCGCGAGUGAUUCCACCCUCCAACCAAAUAAAUCUCCUGAAUGUGGACAAAACAUGGAAACCGCAUUUCUGCAUCUCUCACACUGUCGGCCGGAGAACCGCAAGGCAUGAAAAAAACAACACAAGGCACAUGAGGCUCCUCGUCUGGCCUCAGACUCAAAUAUGUUCCCUCGCCGCCGACUACAAAAGGAGGUUUUCUCUCUCUCUCUCUCUCUCUCUCUGUUUUGACUGUGACUAUAUCUGAAGUAGAACACGGUGCAACAAUACCCCAGUGUUUGCUUACAGGAGCGACACAGAAACUGCUUUCGAGUGAAGCCAAGUGCGCCCACCCCGAAGAAACUCCCACGGGCGGCGCGUCGCGGGCAGAUAACCUCCCGAGUGCACGAGACCAGAACUGCGCGUGUGUCCGACAAUUCGUUUAGAUUUCACAGAGGGGAAAGGGAAGAAGUGGAAGCGAAGGUGCAGGGGUGUGGUGUUCCUCCUCUUCUUCCAACGGCUGUCUUGAAUAGAAACUGAACAUUCAGAAUAUGUACCUCCACCCUGCUGCUGCUUUUUUCUGGCUGGAAUAUUAACCCUUUUCUCCCCUGUGACUUUUACAUUUACAACCAUUCAUACAGAUUAUAAUAAAAUAAAAGAAAACCUUGUGUCUAUUCCCCUGUCUGGAUUGCGCACUAGAAUACAGACUUGGUAUUAUGGAUUUCUUCCCAUUUCUGGAUGCACACGCCAAGAUUAACAUUCCUUGGCUCCUCAUAAUAAUCCAGGGGUCACGUUUGUUCCCUUCUAACUGGUAAAAGUUGUUUUUUGGGGGGGUCCUUGAUUAUUUUACCUGAAAGUAUCUUGUGGUAGAAUCUCUAUCUCUAUCUAGACUUGGCCAAGCUGACAACAUUGAAUAGUUAAAAGGACUUCAACUGGCAGCAGAAACUGAAUGACAUUGUCGAAGACAGUUUCUAGGGUGGAUGGGUCAAACCUGGCCGAUUCCCUAUCCGCUUUAAAAAAGGUCAGAAGUUGAGCUGUCGGUACACGCCAUCCAAUGUGUGCACAUACAGAUAAUAAAAAAAAGGAAAAAUCUGUUUUAUGAAUCCCUAAUCACAAUGCUAGCUUACUCUGCAGCUGCAUACGUGAAUAAUAAUGUGCAAUAACUGACAUGAGAUCAGUGGAAGCUGAGUGAAGGGGGGCUUGACGAGCAAAGCAUACUCAUCUGUGGCUAGCGAUAGCUAAGUCACUACGCGGCUGGUAGUCAACCGAGUUUGGAACUAGAGAAACUAGCGAUGGAACCAUAAACUCCUCAGGACAAUUCUUACUGACGUUACGAAUCAUGAGAUGUAGAGUCAUUUUCCCAUAGACUUGCAUAGAAACAGACAGUUUUUUGCAACCGGUGGAGUCGCCCUCUGCUGGUCAUUCCAGAGAAUACUGGCUUCAGGCACUUCCACUGUUGACUUCACUCUCCGGAAGCAGGAGACUACGUCCAUUUUCAUAUACCGCCUAUGAUGCCAACAGGCCACAUCAGGUGAUUCUGAGAUUGGAGGAGAGACACCGUCCUCCACUCACGUGAGAGUUUAACGCUUCAUCUGGUCGAGCGCUGCUCGUCCUGACGGCACGCGACCAAAUGGCUCGGGAGGUGAAACAUCCAGCUGCGUGAGGAAACUGUGACUUCACGAUGGUAAAUAAGUC
Long non-coding RNA from Scophthalmus maximus (turbot), 4440 nucleotides. RefSeq lists it as uncharacterized. The record is from RefSeq and is a predicted model, not a curated record. NCBI's taxonomy places the organism in Eukaryota, Metazoa, Chordata, Actinopteri, Pleuronectiformes, Scophthalmidae. The transcript is spliced from 4 exons.